UUGUUCCCACAAGCUAUAUUCCAAAAACAACAAAAGAAUUUACCAAUAAUGUACCUAGUACAACUAUACAAGUAAAGGAGUUGAAAUAGUGAUACAUGUAUUUAUAUGCAGUUUACAGGCUAAUCCAUCAUUUACGAGCAUAUUCACAUGCGCAAACAUGAUGCAUUUACUAAAUGCACUUAUUUUCUUCAUUAUUUGAUUUAUUGCAAAAGUAAAAUCUCAUUUAUCAGCAUUCAUCAACACAUUAAAAA
This 251-nucleotide unclassified non-coding RNA is filed under the name Hevea brasiliensis (rubber tree). The record is from RNAcentral. Lineage: Eukaryota; Viridiplantae; Streptophyta; Magnoliopsida; Malpighiales; Euphorbiaceae.